RNAcentral lists this ribosomal RNA (468 nucleotides) under uncultured bacterium. RNAcentral's name for it is "partial 16S ribosomal RNA". It matches the Rfam family "Bacterial small subunit ribosomal RNA", at positions 28 to 507 of the family's 1533-position model. The record is from RNAcentral.
GACGAACGCUGGCGGCGUGCUUAACACAUGCAAGUCGAACGGAAAGGCCCUGCUUUUGUGGGGUGCUCGAGUGGCGAACGGGUGAGUAACACGUGAGUAACCUGCCCUUGACUUUGGGAUAACUUCAGGAAACUGGGGCUAAUACCGGAUAGGAGCUCCUGCUGCAUGGUGGGGGUUGGAAAGUUUCGGUGGUUGGGGAUGGACUCGCGGCUUAUCAGCUUGUUGGUGGGGUAGUGGCUUACCAAGGCUUUGACGGGUAGCCGGCCUGAGGGGGUGACCGGCCACACUGGGACUGAGAUACGGCCCAGACUCCUAUGGGAGGCAGCAGUGGGGAAUAUUGCACAAUGGGCGGAAGCCUGAUGCAGCAACGCCGCGUGCGGGAUGAAGGCCUUCGGGUUGUAAACCGCUUUCGCCUGUGACGAAGCGUGAGUGACGGUAAUGGGUAAAGAAGCACCGGCUAACUACGUG